RNAcentral lists this ribosomal RNA (469 nucleotides) under uncultured bacterium. RNAcentral describes it as "bacterial SSU rRNA". It matches the Rfam family "Bacterial small subunit ribosomal RNA", at positions 33 to 518 of the family's 1533-position model. The record is from RNAcentral.
ACGCUGGCGGCGUGCCUAACACAUGCAAGUCGAGCGAGGAGAUUCCUUCGGGAUGAUCCUAGCGGCGGACGGGUGAGUAACACGUGGGCAACCUGCCUCAUAGAGAGGAAUAGCCUUCCGAAAGGGAGAUUAAUACCUCAUAACAUUGCAGUUUCGCAUGGAACAGCAAUUAAAGGAGUAAUCCGCUAUGAGAUGGGCCCGCGGCGCAUUAGCUAGUUGGUGAGGUAACGGCUCACCAAGGCGACGAUGCGUAGCCGACCUGAGAGGGUGACCGGCCACAUUGGGACUGAGACACGGCCCAGACUCCUACGGGAGGCAGCAGUGGGGAAUAUUGCACAAUGGGGGAAACCCUGAUGCCAGCAACGCCGCGUGAGUGAUGACGGCCUUCGGGUUGUAAAGCUCUGUCUUCAGGGACGAUAAUGACGGUACCUGAGGAGGAAGCCACGGCUAACUACGUGCCAGCCGCCGC